CCAGACUCCUACGGGAGGCAGCAGUGAGGAAUAUUGGUCAAUGGGCGGGAGCCUGAACCAGCCAAGCCGCGUGAGGGAAGAAGGUACAGCGUAUCGUAAACCUCUUUUGUCAGGGAACAAAGGCGGGGACUAGUCCCCGGAUGAGGGUACCUGAAGAAAAAGCAUCGGCUAACUCCGUGCCAGCAGCCGCGGUAAUACGGAGGAUGCGAGCGUUAUCCGGAUUUAUUGGGUUUAAAGGGUGCGUAGGCGGAGUGUCAAGUCAGCGGUAAAAUUUCGGGGCUCAACCCCGUCGUGCCGUUGAAACUGGCAGUCUCGAGUUUGAGAGAAGUAUGCGGAAUGCGCGGUGUAGCGGUGAAAUGCAUAGAUAUCGCGCAGAACCCCGAUUGCGAAGGCAGCAUACCGGCGCCCAACUGACGCUGAGGCACGAAAGCGUGGGUAUCGAACAGGAUUAGAUACCCUGGUA
This 463-nucleotide ribosomal RNA is filed under the name uncultured bacterium. RNAcentral's name for it is "bacterial SSU rRNA". It matches the Rfam family "Bacterial small subunit ribosomal RNA", at positions 331 to 792 of the family's 1533-position model. The record is from RNAcentral.